UGCCCUCAUGUCGUUCCCGAUUUCGUCUC
RNAcentral lists this small RNA (29 nucleotides) under Bombyx mori (domestic silkworm). RNAcentral's name for it is "ovarian small RNA-33750". The record is from RNAcentral. Lineage: Eukaryota; Metazoa; Arthropoda; Insecta; Lepidoptera; Bombycidae.